UCCCUGGUGCUGCAGUGGUUAGGACCCAGCGUUUUCACUGCUAAGGACCCAGGCUCAAUUCCUGGCUAGGGAA
This is a transfer RNA of Ovis aries (sheep), 73 nucleotides long. It matches the Rfam family "tRNA". Rfam says of the family: Transfer RNA (tRNA) molecules are approximately 80 nucleotides in length. Their secondary structure includes four short double-helical elements and three loops (D, anti-codon, and T loops). The record is from Rfam. NCBI's taxonomy places the organism in Eukaryota, Metazoa, Chordata, Mammalia, Artiodactyla, Bovidae.